Doryrhamphus excisus (bluestripe pipefish) is the source of this 318-nucleotide non-coding RNA. The record is from RefSeq and is a predicted model, not a curated record. Lineage: Eukaryota; Metazoa; Chordata; Actinopteri; Syngnathiformes; Syngnathidae.
GCUAAGGGGUCCUCUGUCAGACCACAGCCUAGCCAUCAGAAGGCUUGUUCUCAUUUCCAUACAUGUCUGUCUGCGUGCAUGAGAAAGGUCCUCAUCAAGCUGCUGGGUCUCCCUCAACUUCUGAAACUCUCCCCGAGACUUGGCCUUCUCUCGCUCUUUGGUGAACUCCCUAGCAGGAAUGAAGUUCAGGCAGCCGUGGCAGGCAGACGUAGGCCUGUGGGAACUGAUGGAUGUUCAAGGGAUUGUCGUCCAAGCGGAUGUCCUCCAGGUUGUGACGGAUGAAGUUUCGGUCAUGGCGGUCACAGAAAGUGUCUUCAU